GACGAACGCUGGCGGCGUGCUUAACACAUGCAAGUCGAACGAAGUGGCGAACGGGUGAGUAACGCGUAAUAAACGUGCCCUUCAGAGGGGGACAACAGUGGGAAACGACUGCUAAUACCGCAUACUGAAGGAGGGGAGUGCGUAUGAUUAGCUCGUUGGAGGGGUAACGGCCCACCAAGGGGAUGAUCAGUAGCCGGUCUGGGAGGAUGAACGGCCACAUUGGGACUGAGACACGGCCCAGACUCCUACGGGAGGCAGCAGUGGGGAAUCUUCCGCAAUGGACGAAAGUCUGACGUAGCAACGCCGCGUGAGUGAUGACGGCCUUCGGGUUGUAAAGCUCUGUUAAUCGGGACGCGGUACCGGAAUAGAAAGCCACGGCUAACUACGUGCCAGCCGCCGCGGUAAUAC
This 408-nucleotide ribosomal RNA is filed under the name uncultured bacterium. RNAcentral describes it as "partial 16S ribosomal RNA". It matches the Rfam family "Bacterial small subunit ribosomal RNA", at positions 28 to 526 of the family's 1533-position model. The record is from RNAcentral.